CGGAGCUUGCUCUGUGGGAUCAGUGGCGAACGGGUGAGUAACACGUGAGCAACCUGCCCCUGACUCUGGGAUAAGCGCUGGAAACGGCGUCUAAUACUGGAUACGAGUAGCGACCGCAUGGUCAGUUACUGGAAAGAUUUAUUGGUUGGGGAUGGGCUCGCGGCCUAUCAGCUUGUUGGUGAGGUAAUGGCUCACCAAGGCGUCGACGGGUAGCCGGCCUGAGAGGGUGACCGGCCACACUGGGACUGAGACACGGCCCAGACUCCUACGGGAGGCAGCAGUGGGGAAUAUUGCACAAUGGGCGCAAGCCUGAUGCAGCAACGCCGCGUGAGGGAUGACGGCCUUCGGGUUGUAAACCUCUUUUAGCAGGGAAGAAGCGAAAGUGACGGUACCUGCAGAAAAAGCGCCGGCUAACUACGUGCCAGCAGCCGCGGUAAUACGUAGGGCGCAAGCGUUAUCCGGAAUUAUUGGGCGUAAAGAGCUCGUAGGCGGUUUGUCGCGUCUGCUGUGAAAUCCGGAGGCUCAACCUCCGGCCUGCAGUGGGUACGGGCAGACUAGAGUGCGGUAGGGGAGAUUGGAAUUCCUGGUGUAGCGGUGGAAUGCGCAGAUAUCAGGAGGAACACCGAUGGCGAAGGCAGAUCUCUGGGCCGUAACUGACGCUGAGGAGCGAAAGGGUGGGGAGCAAACAGGCUUAGAUACCCUGGUAGUCCACCCCGUAAACGUUGGGAACUAGUUGUGGG
RNAcentral lists this ribosomal RNA (740 nucleotides) under Microbacterium foliorum. RNAcentral describes it as "bacterial SSU rRNA". It matches the Rfam family "Bacterial small subunit ribosomal RNA", at positions 74 to 826 of the family's 1533-position model. RNAcentral also lists the same sequence under 1 other name. The record is from RNAcentral. Lineage: Bacteria; Bacillati; Actinomycetota; Actinomycetes; Micrococcales; Microbacteriaceae.